This 383-nucleotide ribosomal RNA is filed under the name uncultured eukaryote. RNAcentral's name for it is "partial 18S ribosomal RNA". It matches the Rfam family "Eukaryotic small subunit ribosomal RNA", at positions 592 to 976 of the family's 1831-position model. The record is from RNAcentral.
CAAUAGCGUAUAUUAAAGUUGUUGCAGUUAAAAAGCUCGUGGUUGGAUUUCUGGCAGGAGCGACCGGUCACACACUCUGUGUGUGAACUUGCGUUGUCUCUGGCCAUCCUUGGGAAGAUCCUGUUUGGCAUUAAGUUGUCGGGCAGGGGAUACCCAUCGUUUACUGUGAAAAAAUUAGAGUGUUUAAAGCAGGCUUAUGCCGUUGAAUAUAUUAGCAUGGAAUAAUAAGAUAGGACUUCGGAACUAUUUUGUUGGUUUGCGUUACGAAGUAAUGAUUAAUAGGGACAGUUGGGGGUAUUCGUAUUUCGUUGUCAGAGGUGAAAUUCUUGGAUUUCCGAAAGACGAACUACUGCGAAAGCAUUUACCAAGGAUGUUUUCAUUAA